UAACAUUUCAAUGAAACAGAGGUCCAGCAUUCCUGCAAACAUUCCAGGUGUACUUGCCAACUUUUCCAGCCCAGGCUGAUGCCUGAGUCAGCGUUGGUUUGCUCUGGGCACAGAGAUCCCUUCCAGCACAGAAAGGAAAGAAAAAUACACACACAAGAAGUUUUAAUGUGAAAGAAGACUGAAAUGAAAACAGAAAGAGGAAACUGUCAGAAAAUGGCAUUUAAUGGCCUGGAUCCCAUCAUUAGAAGAGUAUUGUGUUGGCAACUGAGGAAAACCAUCAAAGCACAGCUGUGAUGCUUAAAAGAGAAGAAAACCACCUGAAGAUGUAGGACGUUCAUGACCUAAUUUAUUCAUGGUCUGUGUCUCCUGACAAGCAACUGCAGGAUGUGAAAUCCUCAUCCUCAGCCCAGCCAGA
Onychostruthus taczanowskii (white-rumped snowfinch) is the source of this 415-nucleotide long non-coding RNA. RefSeq lists it as uncharacterized. The transcript has 3 exons. The record is from RefSeq and is a predicted model, not a curated record. NCBI's taxonomy places the organism in Eukaryota, Metazoa, Chordata, Aves, Passeriformes, Passeridae.